RNAcentral lists this ribosomal RNA (443 nucleotides) under uncultured bacterium. Its description in RNAcentral is "partial 16S ribosomal RNA". It matches the Rfam family "Bacterial small subunit ribosomal RNA", at positions 338 to 795 of the family's 1533-position model. The record is from RNAcentral.
CCUACGAGUGGCUGCAGUGGGGAAUAUUGGACAAUGGGGGGAACCCUGAUCCAGCGACGCCGCGUGAGUGAAGAAGUCUUUCGGUAUGUAAAGCUCUAUCAGCAGGGAAGAGAGAAAUGAGGGUACCUGAGUAUGAAGCACCGGCUACCUACGGGCCAGCAGCCGCGGUAAUACGAAGGGGGCACGGGUUACCCGGCUUUACUGGGUGUAAAGGGGGAGUAGACGGCGAGGCAAGUCUGAGGUGAAAUGCGGGGGCCCAACCCCCGAACUGCUUUGGAAACUGUAUGGCUGGAGUGCAGGAGAGGCAAGUGGAAUUCCUAGUGUAGCGGUGAAAUGCGUAGAUAUUAGGAGGAACACCAGUGGCGAAGGCGGCUUACUGGACUGUAACUGACGUUGAGGCUCGAAAGCGUGGGGAGCAAACAGGAUUAGAUACCCCGGUAGUC